GGAGCCGUGCCUGAAUUAAAGGGCUACUUUGAUAGAGUAACUUAUGAGGGUUAAAGUCCCUCCAGCUCCU
RNAcentral lists this transfer RNA (70 nucleotides) under Eleotris klunzingerii. RNAcentral's name for it is "tRNA-Ile". It matches the Rfam family "tRNA". From Rfam's summary of the family: Transfer RNA (tRNA) molecules are approximately 80 nucleotides in length. RNAcentral also lists the same sequence under 1 other name. The record is from RNAcentral. Lineage: Eukaryota; Metazoa; Chordata; Actinopteri; Gobiiformes; Eleotridae.